GGGCUUGUAGCUCAGCUGGUUAGAGCGUUCGUCUGAUAAGCGAAAGGUCGAUGGUUCAAGUCCAUUCAGGCCCACCA
This 77-nucleotide transfer RNA is filed under the name Clostridium sp. RNAcentral's name for it is "tRNA-Ile". It matches the Rfam family "tRNA". Rfam says of the family: Transfer RNA (tRNA) molecules are approximately 80 nucleotides in length. The record is from RNAcentral. RNAcentral also lists the same sequence under 2 other names. Lineage: Bacteria; Bacillati; Bacillota; Clostridia; Eubacteriales; Clostridiaceae.